AUUUAAAUAGUUUAAUAAAAAUAAUAACUUGUGGCGUUAUAGAUGUAUAGUAUACUUUGAAUA
Molecule: transfer RNA, 63 nt
Filed under: Disteniazteca fimbriata
Lineage: Eukaryota; Metazoa; Arthropoda; Insecta; Coleoptera; Cerambycidae
Description: tRNA-His
Source: RNAcentral